UGUGCUAAUUUACAUAUGUAUUUCAUUUUUUAUAUGUAGAGAUACAUACGUAUAUUUAAACAAAAAAUAAAUAAUCAAAAAGCAAUCAUUAAGAAAUUAUCGUUAAAAGACCAAUAUGAUAAAGAUUAAUAACUAUAUAGGUAUGUUUAAAAAACUAACUUAUAAUAUUAAUAAAUAAGGACCGCCAUGGACUUGCUUACUUAAAAUAACAACAAAAUAAAUAUAACAAUAAUAUAAUAAUAACAAUAACAAAUAAAGUGCACUUACAAGUUCAUCUCAAAUUACAGUAGUCAUUUAAAUGAAAUUAAUUCUUACUAUCAUUAUUGUUUUGAAUUAAUGAUAAUCAGAUUUAUUAGAUCGUUGAAGCCUUACUCAACAGCUCUAAAGGCUAGCUUAUAUUGAUCUCAUUUUAAUAGGAUUUCUUACCCGUUAAAAAAUAUAUAAAAGAUUUUAAUAAAAAUGUAUGUAGCUAGUUUCGUAGAUACACGCAUCCUUAACCAUAUUUUAUUGAAGGUGAAAAA
This 521-nucleotide unclassified non-coding RNA is filed under the name Melitaea cinxia (Glanville fritillary). RNAcentral describes it as "misc RNA ENSMCXG00005015306.1". Lineage: Eukaryota; Metazoa; Arthropoda; Insecta; Lepidoptera; Nymphalidae. The record is from RNAcentral.